AGUGAACGCUGGCGGUAGGCCUAACACAUGCAAGUCGAACGGCAGCACAGUAAGAGCUUGCCCUUACGGGUGGCGAGUGGCGGACGGGUGAGGAAUACAUCGGAAUCUACUUUUUCGUGGGGGAUAACGUAGGGAAACUUACGCUAAUACCGCAUACGACCUACGGGUGAAAGCAGGGGAUCUUCGGACCUUGCGCGAUUGAAUGAGCCGAUGUCGGAUUAGCUAGUUGGCGGGGUAAAGGCCCACCAAGGCGACGAUCCGUAGCUGGUCUGAGAGGAUGAUCAGCCACACUGGAACUGAGACACGGUCCAGACUCCUACGGGAGGCAGCAGUGGGGAAUAUUGGACAAUGGGCGCAAGCCUGAUCCAGCCAUACUGCGUGGGUGAAGAAGGCCUUCGGGUUGUAAAGCCCUUUUGUUGGGAAAGAAAAGCAGCAGGUUAAUACCCCGCUGUUCUGACGGUACCCAAAGAAUAAGCACCGGCUAACUUCGUG
RNAcentral lists this ribosomal RNA (492 nucleotides) under uncultured bacterium. Its description in RNAcentral is "partial 16S ribosomal RNA". It matches the Rfam family "Bacterial small subunit ribosomal RNA", at positions 29 to 507 of the family's 1533-position model. The record is from RNAcentral.